GCUGACGGUGCCUCCGCGAGGAGGUGAAAAGGGAACGCGGUGCGGGCUUGCUUUGCCCAAUGCCGCGGCUGCCCCCGCAACUGUAAGCGGAUAUCCUUCGCCAUCGGCCACUGGAGCGCAAACUCCGGGAAGGCGGCACGGGGCGCCAAAUCCGCGAGCCAGGAGACCUGCCGUCAA
Molecule: non-coding RNA, 177 nt
Filed under: uncultured Allobosea sp.
Lineage: Bacteria; Pseudomonadati; Pseudomonadota; Alphaproteobacteria; Hyphomicrobiales; Alloboseaceae
Source: RNAcentral